RNAcentral lists this ribosomal RNA (425 nucleotides) under uncultured Acanthamoeba. Its description in RNAcentral is "SSU rRNA". It matches the Rfam family "Eukaryotic small subunit ribosomal RNA", at positions 740 to 1101 of the family's 1831-position model. Lineage: Eukaryota; Discosea; Longamoebia; Acanthamoebidae. The record is from RNAcentral.
GGCCCAGAUCGUUUACCGUGAAAAAAUUAGAGUGUUCAAAGCAGGCAGAUCCAAUUUUCUGCCACCGAAUACAUUAGCAUGGGAUAAUGGAAUAGGACCCUGUCCUCCUAUUUUCAGUUGGUUUUGGCAGCGCGAGGACUAGGGUAAUGAUUAAUAGGGAUAGUUGGGGGCAUUAAUAUUUAAUUGUCAGAGGUGAAAUUCUUGGAUUUAUGAAAGAUUAACUUCUGCGAAAGCAUCUGCCAAGGAUGUUUUCAUUAAUCAAGAACGAAAGUUAGGGGAUCGAAGACGAUCAGAUACCGUCGUAGUCUUAACCAUAAACGAUGCCGACCAGCGAUUAGGAGACGUUGAAUACAAAACACCACCAUCGGCGCGGUCGUCCUUGGCGUCGGUCCUUCACGGGGCCGGCGCGAGGGCGGCUAGCCCUG